AUGGGUAGACUCAAGGGUAAAUCCAAGAAGCAUUUUGUUGCUCUCUUGGAACAACUUGGUGAAGCCAAUGACGUGAUCGAGUCUCAUGAAGAUACCAUCUCCAAGAUGGAGGGGCAUAGUCGUGACUAUGCCGAUGAGAUUUCGAAUCUUUCCAAUGCUCUUGAGGAAGAGCGUGGUAUUUGUUUGGCUCUUGAGGAGUCACACAACGAUGAUCAUGCUAAGUUAAAGAAAGAUUUUGAUCAUGCUCUCAUGGUUUCUCGCGUGCUAAACUCCGAGAAGGCCAAACUUGGGGUUGAUCUUGCUAGACUCAAAGAGGAGUUUGAUCUACUUGACAAGGCUCACAAGGUCUUGAAGGGUGCUCAUGCUAGCCUCAAAGAGUCUCAUGAUCAACUCCAAGUAAAGCUAACCAAGGAGAAAGCCACCUUUCCUCGUAUGAUGUUAAUUGAUAAUGCAAAUGCUACUAACCCGUGUUGUGAGCAUGUGCAUCUUGUUGAGGAGAAUGCUAAGCUAAAGGUGCUACUUGAGAAAGGUCUUGUGUCUUGCAUACAAGGUGAGAAGAGCCUCAACAACCUCUUGACCAACCAAAAGGGAGUUGUGGCCAAGGAAGGGAUUGGGUACGUGUCCAAGUCCAAGAACGAGAAGAAGAAUGACAAGGCCAAACGACCUCCUCCUCUCAAGCAAACCUUUGUGAGGGAGGGUGAGGGUGCUACUAAGGAGAGGGAGAAAAACUCCAUAAAGGGUAGUGAUGCCAAGAAGGGAAACACUCCCCUUCCCAACAAGGUCGGCGACUUUAACCCUUCUUAUGUGUUGUGCCACGCUAGAGAUGGGUAUGUUUAUGCCAAAUUUGUUGGUUCUCCUUAUGAGUACAUUGAAUGGUCUAUUUGGGUUCCUAAGACCCUUGUUACUAACAUCAAAGGACCCAUUACAAAAUGGGUACCUAAAACCAAGUAUUGA
Molecule: ribosomal RNA, 954 nt
Filed under: Triticum aestivum (bread wheat)
Lineage: Eukaryota; Viridiplantae; Streptophyta; Magnoliopsida; Poales; Poaceae
Description: partial small subunit ribosomal RNA
Source: RNAcentral